This 85-nucleotide transfer RNA is filed under the name Felis catus (domestic cat). It matches the Rfam family "tRNA". From Rfam's summary of the family: Transfer RNA (tRNA) molecules are approximately 80 nucleotides in length. Lineage: Eukaryota; Metazoa; Chordata; Mammalia; Carnivora; Felidae. The record is from Rfam by way of RNAcentral.
ACCUGGGUGGCUCAGUCGGUUAAGCGGCUGACUUCAGCUCAGGUCAUGAUCUCGCGGUCCGUGGGUUCGAGCCCCACAUCAGGCU